CUACGUGCCAGCAGCCGCGGUAAUACGUAUGUCACAAGCGUUAUCCGGAUUUAUUGGGCGUAAAGCGCGUCUAGGUGGUUAUGUAAGUCUGAUGUGAAAAUGCAGGGCUCAACUCUGUAUUGCGUUGGAAACUGCAUGACUAGAGUACUGGAGAGGUAAGCGGAACUACAAGUGUAGAGGUGAAAUUCGUAGAUAUUUGUAGGAAUGCCGAUGGGGAAGCCAGCUUACUGGACAGAUACUGACGCUAAAGCGCGAAAGCGUGGGUAGCAAACAGGAUUAGAUACCCUGGUAGUCCACGCCGUAAACGAUGAUUACUAGGUGUUGGGGGUCGAACCUCAGCGCCCAAGCUAACGCGAUAAGUAAUCCGCCUGGGGAGUACGUACGCAAGUAUGAAACUCAAAGGAAUUGACGGGGGCCCGCACAAGCGGAGGAACAUGUGGUUUAAUUCGAUGAUACGCGAGGAACCUUACCCGGGCU
RNAcentral lists this ribosomal RNA (477 nucleotides) under uncultured bacterium. RNAcentral describes it as "bacterial SSU rRNA". It matches the Rfam family "Bacterial small subunit ribosomal RNA", at positions 501 to 981 of the family's 1533-position model. The record is from RNAcentral.